AUUUAUUUAUUAGUAAGUUCCAACAGGACACCUUUACUAUAAUGUUGUCCAAGCAUAGCACAGAGCAUGGGAUGACUGGAUGAUGGUGAGCGGAAUCAUGCCCACCCGCACAGACAAAAUGGUCCUAAUAAAAAAAGAAAUAAAAAAACUAAUAUCUAUCCUAAGAAAUUAACUUUUGAUAAAAAUAUGUGUCUAUAAAUUUUGAAUAUCAUUUCAAGGUAUAACGGCAGGAUAUUUCAGACGAAUAGUGCCAUGGUCUGGUCCCCUUCCCCUCCGAUGCUUUAGGCUAUACCUGGAAGCUCCCAGUGGAAUGUAGUCUCUGCAACGGAAACAGUCAAACGGGCAGAAUAGACCGUUUCUGGACACACUAUUCACUCUGGGGCUGCUCGCUUAGUAACCGUUAUUCAUCAACCAAUAACCAUCCUGCAUAAUUCGAAAUAAUCAUGCCUACUUGAUUAUCAUUUUGACGUGGCAUUAUUAAAAAAAUGCUGCGAGACCAUUCUGGUCAUUUCAAUCAAAAGAUGAAAGAAGGAAUAGAAUAUGCUCACACAUAUUUCCAGCUGUGACCAAAUUCCAAAGUAUGCCCAGCCAGCCUAAUGCCUUGCUCCUCACAGUCACAUGGCCCCACUCACUAACCCCACUUAAACCCUCACUCCUUAACUCUAGUUACACCCUAACCCCUCCUCCUCC
This 690-nucleotide long non-coding RNA is filed under the name Manihot esculenta (cassava). Its description in RNAcentral is "long non-coding RNA (MESC_LNC002652)". Lineage: Eukaryota; Viridiplantae; Streptophyta; Magnoliopsida; Malpighiales; Euphorbiaceae. The record is from RNAcentral.